Molecule: transfer RNA, 73 nt
Filed under: Acanthaster planci (crown-of-thorns starfish)
Lineage: Eukaryota; Metazoa; Echinodermata; Asteroidea; Valvatida; Acanthasteridae
Description: tRNA-Phe
Rfam family: tRNA
About the family: Transfer RNA (tRNA) molecules are approximately 80 nucleotides in length. Their secondary structure includes four short double-helical elements and three loops (D, anti-codon, and T loops). Further hydrogen bonds mediate the characteristic L-shaped molecular structure. tRNAs have two regions of fundamental functional importance: the anti-codon, which is responsible for specific mRNA codon recognition, and the 3' end, to which the tRNAs corresponding amino acid is attached (by aminoacyl-tRNA synthetases). tRNAs cope with the degeneracy of the genetic code in two manners: having more than one tRNA (with a specific anti-codon) for a particular amino acid; and 'wobble' base-pairing, i.e. permitting non-standard base-pairing at the 3rd anti-codon position.
Source: Rfam by way of RNAcentral
GCCGGAGUAGCUCAGUUGGGAGAGCGUCAGACUGAAGAUCUGAAGGUCCCUGGUUCAAUCCCGGGUUCCGGCA